CUCGUGGCUCAGUCGUUAGAGCGUUGGUGCAUAAAACCAAAGGUCCGGGGUUCGAUCCCCGACGAGG
RNAcentral lists this transfer RNA (67 nucleotides) under Agrilus planipennis (emerald ash borer). The stretch from base 5 to 61 matches the Rfam family "tRNA", at positions 8 to 63 of the family's 71-position model. From Rfam's summary of the family: Transfer RNA (tRNA) molecules are approximately 80 nucleotides in length. Their secondary structure includes four short double-helical elements and three loops (D, anti-codon, and T loops). The record is from Rfam by way of RNAcentral. Lineage: Eukaryota; Metazoa; Arthropoda; Insecta; Coleoptera; Buprestidae.